This 465-nucleotide ribosomal RNA is filed under the name uncultured bacterium. RNAcentral describes it as "bacterial SSU rRNA". It matches the Rfam family "Bacterial small subunit ribosomal RNA", at positions 950 to 1417 of the family's 1533-position model. The record is from RNAcentral.
UUCGAUGCACGCGAAAACCUUACCUACCCUUGACAUGUACGGACCCUCACAGAGAUGUGAGGGUGCUCGAAAGAGAACCGUAACACAGGUGCUGCAUGGCUGUCGUCAGCUCGUGUCGUGAGAUGUUGGGUUAAGUCCCGCAACAAGCGCAACCCUUGCCAUUAGUUGCUACAUUUAGUUGGGCACUCUAAUGGAACUGCCGGUGACAAACCGGAGGAAGGUGGGGAUGACGUCAAGUCCUCAUGGCCCUUAUGGGUAGGGCUUCACACGUAAUACAAUGGUAGGUACAGAGGGCGGCCAACCCGCGAGGGGGAGCUAAUCCCAGAAAGCCUAUCGUAGUCCGGAUUGUAGUCUGCAACUCGACUACAUGAGGCCGGAAUCGCUAGUAAUCGCGGAUCAGCAUGUCGCGGUGAAUACGUUCCCGGGUCUUGUACACACCGCCCGUCACACCAUGGGAGUGGGUUC